UUUGGUUGAUCCUGYCAGUAGUCAUAUGCUUGUCUCAAAGAAUAAGCCAUGCAUGUCUAAGUACAAGCCUCAUUAAGGUGAAACCGCGAAUGGCUCAUUAAAUCACACUUAAUGUACUGGAUAGUUUCGGUUACUUGGAUAACUGCGGUAAUUCUGGAGCUAAUACAUGCGGACAAGCCCCGACUCACGGAGGGGCGCUUUUAUUAGAUCAAAACCAAACGGCUCUCCGGCCGUGCUUCUGGUGAUCCUGAAUAACUUUGGGCAGAUCGCAUGGCUUCAUGCCGGCGACGUAUCCUUCCAAGGUGUGCCCUAUCAACUGUCGACUGUGCUAUAGCUGACCACAGUGGUUUUGACGGGUAACGGGGAAUUAGGGUUCGAUUCCGGAGAGGGAGCCUGAGACACGGCUACCACUUCUAAGGAAGGCAGCAGGCACGCAAAUUACCCAAUGGUCGACGACCGAGGUAGUGACGAAAAAUAACGAUACCGGUCUCAUCCGAGGCCCGGUAAUCGGAAUGAGUACACUUUAAAUCCUUUAACGAGGAACAAUUGGAGGGCAAGUCUGGUGCCAGCAGCCGCGGUAAUUCCAGCUCC
This 591-nucleotide ribosomal RNA is filed under the name Sphaerippe sp. MAN-2016. RNAcentral describes it as "SSU rRNA". It matches the Rfam family "Eukaryotic small subunit ribosomal RNA", at positions 1 to 594 of the family's 1831-position model. The record is from RNAcentral. Lineage: Eukaryota; Metazoa; Arthropoda; Copepoda; Poecilostomatoida; Lamippidae.